Long non-coding RNA from Lycium ferocissimum, 428 nucleotides. RefSeq lists it as uncharacterized. Lineage: Eukaryota; Viridiplantae; Streptophyta; Magnoliopsida; Solanales; Solanaceae. The record is from RefSeq and is a predicted model, not a curated record. The transcript has 3 exons.
UUUGUCACUUUCCUUUUUCAAAGGGGCUGUGGGGCUGUGGUGCUUAGAUUGGUCACUCUGUAAUUUUAUUUUUUCACAUUUUUUUGGGGUUGUGUGGAAGAUGAGGGGAAGGGGAUAAUACAACUUAUAAACAUGCACCUGAUGAUUCCAGUGAUUACAACCAUCUUUUUCUCUCGUAUGAGCUCAAUAUUUUUGUAGUAUGUAAGAUUCAAAAGAGUUGAUGCAAAGACCCAAAUGAUCUACGUAAUGGAAUAUUAAGGAAUCGUUUGGUUGCUGGUUAGGGAGCAAAUUAUUCAUGUAUUAAAAUCAACAUAACUAGGUACCAUGUUUGUUAGCAUCUUAGUUGCUUUGUAUAAAAUUCAACACACCAAGUACGGUGUUUGGUUAUCAGAAACUGUAUAACUAAUACAUGUAUGAGUUAUUAGGGA